AGUUUCAUUUGGUUCGCCGAGCUGCACGCAAGUUCCGAAGAACGAAUGCUGCCACCCCGUGUGUAAACCCACCACCUUUCCCAUUUCCCACUUCUGCCGUGUAAUAGUUAAAAAAAAGAGAGCAAAAAGGAGCAAAAAGUAAUAAGAGGCCAGCAGUGUGUCCGAGUGUGGCCCCGAAAAGCCUCAGGUUUUUGGUUUUUUUUUCGUAAUUUGAUUUCGGUGGGUAAAUGAUAAAGUGCACCGCUUGGUUAAAGUUGAAAAGCGAGUAAGGAAAAAAACAUAAAUGAAUGUCUUGUUAGUAAAGAAAAAGAUGGAAGUUUAAAUUAGUAAAGUGUUCGUGUGUGUGUGAGAAAGCAAGAGCAGUGAAAAGUUGCUUUUUUAAAAGCAAAGUGAUUAAAGUUUACAGUAACGUGUGCUUAUGACGGUGCUUCAGAUCUUCAGGUGAAAAUCAUACAAAAAUUCGAUGAACAGAAAAAAAGUGAUAAAGUGAUUAAAUGAUUUACUUCAGAGCAAGACAGCACAGCAUGACAGCUGUCAGUCAGGUCGCCACCUGUGUACUAUUCUGAACCAAUCAUACUAACAAUCGACGACCAAUUCCAAGAAGGAAUUGUGAAUAUAGCAGCGCGAGCAGUACGUAAAACCAUUACCGAUCCUCAAAUCCCACAAACCACGAACAAAUCGCGAAAACAGGCUUCAUCACCGUGAAAAUAAACCAAACAGGCUUUCACGACAAGCGGAUCCUCGAACGAGUACCUAGUGAAUAUCGAAACAAUCCCAAGUUCCCGCAGAAGCAGUUCCUCAAGCAAUCCUUUAGUUGUGGUUUAAAGCGAACCUACAGUGUGUGCUGAGUGGAAGUGAAAAGAAAAAACCUAUCAGGAAAAAAUUAAAUCCUAUCGAAAAAUAGUAAAAAAUUUAAGCAAAAAGUGUAUCAAAACUGUGGAAAAUUUUAUCAAUUUCCCCGUGUAGUAGUUUUUUGCGUUUCCUUACCGAAAUAAGCGAAACAGAAGUGUUGCGGUGAAGAUCCCCAUUUUUUUCUACGCUCAAUAAUGCCGAUCCACAGCAGAAUGAAAGAUCGAGCAAUUGUGUCAGUGUCAAAUCGACCCGUCAAAGAUAGUGCCACUAUCGUGCCGCAUCGUGCGUGCUGAGCACGAGGAAAGGAAAAAAGUGUGUCGUAUGUUGCUUUCGGAAAUUCACUUUUGCGACCGUGGAACCAGUGCAUGUGGUUUGUGCAUGGUUCAGGUGUGGAUGUGCGAGCGUGUCGGGUAUCACCUGUCGAUACAAGCUGUCCGGAACGGGGACGAGUGCCAGUGUGACCGUAAGUGCAAGAAAAACCAUGAAGAAAUCAACUGACAUGUGUCAUUACCGAUCAGCGAAGAAGUUUAAAUUAUUGCCCAAAAUCCGAGCCAGCCCAAGAUAUCGGGAGGCACCCUAGAGCGAAAGAUCGUGUUGUGUGACUGUGCGUUUACAGCUUAGCUUAGGUGGUGAUUUCAAUUGGUGUGUGUGUGUGUGUGUCCUUGUGCGAACGGAGGUAGACAGCUGGGGAGCUGCUGACGGCUCUACGCAAAGGUCAGACAAAACUCAGAAAUUUCAACUCGGAUCAAACAGGCGAAUAACCCGUAACGCCUUCGGGCGAAUUCGACAUCAGUAUUGCUGGCUUUGGAGGAUUGCCGGAAGAACGGGCGGACAACAGAACACCCUCCAGAAACCGAGAUCUCCGGCGCAGAAUAUAUCCUACCCAAGAGCGAGGAUCCCGUAAGGUACUCCUUCCCGUAGAGUACCGGCCAACAUUUAGCCUUUACCUACUCUCAAAACAAAACCCAACAAAAUACAUACCAGUCAAACUGACGAGACGCCAUGUACUUACGCAAAUGGAGUCCAGUAAAAUAUUUGAUGUACCUAUGGCUUGCAAUUCUGGUUUGGAUGUUCUCUCGGUGUGAUAGUGCCGCCACGAUGCAUCUGGCGCCACCGCCACCGUACCAUAGCAGCGGCUUCCAGGGCACACCCGGUGGCCACUCCAGUAGCAUUAGCAGCAGCAUUAGCAGCAGUAGCAGUAGUGGUAGAUAUGUUAGUGAUAGCAGUAAAACAACACCUAGCAUUAGUAGUCACACGCCCGCGACCGGGACGCACCAGGUGGAAAGUUUGGCCGGUGGUGCGAUACCGCCCCGGUUAGCGCACCCCCUACCGCUACUGCCAAGCGUGGCCACCGGGAAGAUUCCUGCCGAUGGAGUUUUGCAGCUGCUUCGGCGUACCAGUGCCAACACUCAAACGGUAGCGCACCGGGAGCAACCGGACCGGCACUUACCACCAAACCAAUCCUCGAACCAAAUGUUUCCGCCGUCCAGCACAGUGGUUGUUGACGGGGCGAUGGCCGGAUCGGCGGUUGUUCCGUCAGCCAUCGACAGCAGUAGUAUUAUUGGCAGUAGCUCCGACACUGCCGAACGAACGUUGCAACGGCAAUGGGCGGCCCAGAUGCGUCUGAAAGGUGAGCGUCGCCGACUGCAUCGGAGACGUUUGCGCACGUUGGCCGCAAGUCCGCUGGGCAAUCGGAACCGAAGAGAUUCGGCCCUACCGGGUGGGUACGGCGGUAGAUCACCGACGGCAACCGGCAAUCAACAGCAUCCGAUGCGGACCCAGCGAAGAAAUGGUACCGGGGGUGGACCGCGCCGGUACUGUUCGGCCCGUGAUCCGGCAACACUCGCGUUCGAGGCACCGAUCGUUUGUGAGGCGAAGGUCAAGUCGAUGAGCGAUCGGCGACCGACGUUUGCAGCGACGUUCGAGAUACUGGCGGUGCACAAGCAACCACCGAAGGGACGCCUGCAGAAAGGCCGUACCGUGCGGUUGCAGUUCAAUCUGACCACCACGAACGAGUGCGACAUCUUUCGGGGGAAGUUCCGCGAGCGGGGGUUUGUGCGCGAGGAGCUCGAGCUCGGUAAGGUGUACUUCCUGUUCCUGAAGCCAAACAUGGGCUACACCAACUUCACGAUCCUCGGUCAACCGAUACGCAAAACCAAACGGUCCGAGGGUGGAGUUGCGCAGGGCGUCAAUCCUAACUAUGGUACCCGACCAGUGAUCCAUUUCAUCACACCGAACGUGACACGCGUCGAGGGUAAGCGGGUACGGUUGGUGUGCAAAGUCGGCGGUAACCCACCGCCGAAGGUGGCCUGGUUCAAAGAUAAGCGGCUGAUCAACCGGAACGCCACCAAGUACACCCAAGUGCAUCUCAAGAGGCGGUCCGUGCUGAUCUUCAACGCCACCACGUCGGAUUCUGGAGAGUACGAGUGUCGGGCUAAAAAUAGAUAUAACAAUUCGUCCGUCUUCAACUCGACGCACGUUAAAAUUACCUUGCCAAAAUCGUCCAUUCCGGCGGUCUACUCGAGGACCUGCGCCGGCAGCCAUCGGGACGACUUUUGUCACAAUGGCGGCACUUGCUUCGACAUUGACACCCUCGGGGAGCUGGCUUGCUACUGUGCCAAGGGAUUUUCCGGCCAUCGGUGCGAAAACAAGGUCAGCGAGUUAAGUCCGGUCUUGUCGAACAAGCAGCAGGACUGUACAUCACAGCGAUACGCAGGUUAUUAUUGCUAAAGCUUUAUAACAUCAACAAAACCCCGAAACAAACGAACGAUACCAAGCAAUAGGAAAACUCCCUCCCCGAUUAACCACUCUGCGACCGGGCAGCAAACCGUGUGUAGAAGUGUGAGAUUCCGUUAGAAAGAGCCCAAAGGCGCCCCAAACCCCCUUGGGGGCCAAGAACCCUAACGUCAAAAAUCGAGUGUAGCUAAGAUAUUGGAGAGCUGAAAGCUUUUGUGUCGACGCAUUUGCUUGACGUGACAAUUCCGACCUCCAUCGCAGCGUCGGCACACCCAUCGAGCGAUCGUUCGGGCACUCGGGAGAUUUGUUCGCGCGUUGUGCAAAUUAGUCAGCGAAAAACCAAAAAUUAACACUAGUAGAACACUUCGUCUAGAUGCAGGGCCGAUGAACCGGUUCAUCAAAUAUCAGUUAGCCAACAGCAGCCAACGAAUCAUCCAACGACGGUGAGCUCUUCGACGGUCUCGUCGUUUAAGGAAGUCUUGUACAUAUAUAUAAAACAAAGCUAGUAAAGAGCUAUCGGGAGCCUAAUUAUGGACUUAAAUCAUCAAAGCGCAACCCUUCUUCUAUAUCCAACUCCAUCGCCCAAUUUGACUCAGUAGCAAAGAAAAAAAUGGGUUGGAUAGUUAAACGGGAGACGGUAGAAAUAACCUUGUGUUCUGCACAGGUGCACACACCAGGAGGACAAUAAACAACAAAAAAAACCGGGAGGGAAAACAUUACAAAAAAAAGCUAAAGAAAGAUGGAAAAAGAAAAGAAAACGAGGGGAAAAAACUGUGCACUAUGGGAAGAAAAGUUGAUAGUACAAAUUUGUGUAUAAUGUAUAAAGUGAAACUUAUUUAUUUGUUUUAUGUUUACGUAAAAGUGGUACGGCAGUGCGGUAGCCCCGAAAGAAAUCCGAACAAGCAAACUAGUAAUUAAUGACGGAAGCGCAACUAUGGAAGCAAAAUUAGUUUAAUUUUAGCAAACGAUAGAGCAACGAAAACAACACUCCUACUACUUUUUGUCGUCGGGCAGAAUAAAAGCAAACAGAUGAUUAAAACAAACGACAAAAAAACCGUGACGCAAAAAUAAAUUAAAAAGCCAAUCCCUGUACUUCAAUAGUAAAACGAAGGAAAUGCUUCAACCACAUUAACACUGAAUUAUUGCAAAAAUAAAAAAAAAAAAACAUUCCAGUUCUUGGUUGGAUACCGUCGUCGUGAGCUAGAAGCAAUCGAAAACACUAGAAAACGAAAGCUUUUAGAAGAAAAGUCAUAAAAAACCAAAUACACACACACAGACACAUUCACUAUUUCAACACACAUACAUCCACACAUUUAAUUGUUCUCAAUGGUAGUGUUUUUGUUUUAUAUGGCUAGCAGCGGAAGAAUUGGUGUUACGUAGCUUCUCUAGUUGGUUGGACACCAUUUUGUGUUUUUUAAUUACAUAAAUACAGUCUUUUGAAACAUUGUAGACUGUUCUGCACACACACACACACACAUAAGAUUUUUUUAUCGGAGUAAGGUAGUCCCAAAGUUGGCAAAUGGCAAACAAUUCAAUCACCAUAAUUAAGAUCGGUUUUGGAGUAACUGAUAAUACAGUCACUUCCCAACUUACGCGGAUAAUGGAGGACCAGAAAUUACAACUCGAAAUUAACUCGAAAAACCACACUUGACACAUCGCUCAUCGAAUGAUUCAAAAAAGGAAAUUUAAUCAAUCAUUUGGAAAAUAAAAUCUAAGAAUUUACCCAUAUCUAAUUGAUAAUCUAUUCCACUGUGCGUGUGACGUUUGAAAUUAAUUCAAAGCCCUACAAAUGUUUAGUCACUGGCAACGCAGAAUUUAACGGAUUUAUUGAACUCAAGAUUUAAAACCACAUAGUAAAUUCUGAAUGUUAUCUUUUAAUUGUUUUUAAAUCACGUAAACGGAAGUCCUGCGUAAGUUGAGAACUGACUGAAAUCAUAUAAUUUUUUUUAUUUGAAAUUAAUUUCUCUUUUAACUAUGCAAAGUUGUUUGCAGCAAAAAAAAGCUCAAGAAUAACAAGUUUUCGGGUGGUGUGUAGUAUCAGUUUUACUUCUGAAGAUUUUAUUCGAAACCAACCAAAGGACCUACGUAGAACGUUGUAAUUUCCGAAACGUUGGCCAUCUACUACUACUAAUUUCAAAGUAUAGAAGUCACACAUCAAACAAUAAUAACCUACGGGACAAAAAGAACUACGCACACAAAUCCACACUACUACAACAACCGCAAAGGAAGACGUGUGCAAUAUUUACAGUCUAUUACAUGCCCUCACAAAAAACUAAGGUGUUGGUUUUAAGGUGCUUUCCUUUGCUAUUUCAUCAAACCCUCUGUAGAAAGCCUUCUCCUUAACUGAAACGUCACAGUUCGCCCCGGAAGCAAAGGUGCCGCAAAACACUUACAAAAUUUUAAAUAAAUUGUUAACAAAAACAACCAUGUCGUUACCAGCACGCUGUUGUGGCACACGGACAUAGAAAAAAAUGACGGUUGAACGUUAAUGGACCGUAACGUGCGGCAGGAUCACACAACUGUUUUGACGGUUGACGUCCGUGCCCCGUAAGCACCAAAUUAGUUUGAUGUAGGGUGAGGUUCUGCAAGCGGCAGAAGAAUCCUUUAAAUUCAAUUACUUCUUACUGUAAAUAAAUAUGAAUCAUGAACUAGCAGAAUUGUGAUUCUCGUUCUUUUUUUCAACCUAACACAAAAGCACAUGAGUAUUAUAGAAAAGCGAACUGUUGCCAAUACGACUCCAUGCAAAAAAUUAAAAGAAAUUGUGAACGGCAUAGCUAGUCCUGUAAUGUUCUCUAUGUGUGUAGAGAGUGUCCUUAGCAAAAGUGGCUGAAAAAGUAAAGAGAGUGAAAAUGACAACAACACAACUGUACAGAGUAUUUGUUGCUUGCACUGUGGACGUUAUGGAUGUACGUUGGUGGCAAAAAAUUUAUCAAGGUGAAAAGUAGAAAUAUUGAACAAAAACUUUCGAGAGUGUGUAGAUAGUAUGGUUUUUGCUUUUCGUUGCAAGUGAAAAGAGUUAAAGCAAAUCGCCGAUUUUCUGAAGCAAGAAAUGCAACGCCACGUGCCUACAAUAAAACAGCAAAGGUAGAUAGAUCUACACAAUCAAACAAUCUCAUUUCUGGCUUGACUUCUUGUUUAAACCAUUGGGUUUGCAAAAACAAAAUGGCUACAAUCGAGGAUCACCAACGGAUCGGAUCGCCAACCUUUAUCUAGCCACUACCAAACGCAAAGAGCACCACGGGAAGUAACACGCUUUUCCGCAAGGACGCAACAGAAGACUGAUGCCAUGCUCAGAAUGGUUGCUCAAAGCUCAAAGACAGAGGCCACCGAAGGACGACUGUACACCGAAUGUAUGGACUUUGUCGUGAUGGAUUCGCCGGCACCGGCAAUGUACGAGUACGAUGAUGAUGAUAAUUAAGGUUCUUGUGAUAUGUGGGCCCCCCCUAAAAGGGAACUUUACGAUGGACUGGAGGACGUCAUUCGCGGACGGAUGCUAGGCCGUUAUACACACGUUCAAAUUCGACAUGCAUUACACAAACGCACAUACUUGUAGCACCACAAUAAUUGGCCAGUAAACUACUACUACUUCCCAUGCCAUGUACUGGGCGCGCCUGUCGCGGAACACUUCCGAAGCAGCAAGUGAGCCAGCAACUAGCCAGUAACGAUAUUAUCUCGGUGUGCUUUCGGUGUCAAAAUGAUAGUGAAGAAGAAUAUGGUACUGUAGAAUGUGGUGGUAUGCCUAUAAUGCUAAAAGCGAGCAAUGAAAAAAAAAACAAGUUCAGUUCUUUUAAUUGCCUUCAGGUAGGAACGCCACGCGCACUGAACGAUUACAGUACGACCCAACACAACAACACAUUUAAAAUACCAAAGAAUGUAUAUAGCUAAAGACAACGCGUUAAAUAAAUGGUAACAAUCGUGACAGAAAACAGCAAAUACAAAAAUUCAUUAUUUAAUCAAUGUCGCUAAGCAAUCCCCCAUCUGUUUUCUGUUAUUUGGACGACGUAAUGGGUUACGCUAAAAGUAAGCAAAUAAAUAAUAAAAUAAAUCGAAAAUAAAGUGUAUUUUAACUUAUAACUGUGCUUUAAGUAUUUAA
RNA transcript from Anopheles stephensi (Asian malaria mosquito), 7681 nucleotides. It is a transcript of the gene named protein vein, with no coding region annotated. The record is from RefSeq and is a predicted model, not a curated record. Lineage: Eukaryota; Metazoa; Arthropoda; Insecta; Diptera; Culicidae. The transcript has 8 exons.